UAAGUGUUUUUUUUAAAAUAAAGUGUAUCUAUCUUUGGCAGGAAAUCACAUGUAUUAUUAUGUAAUUUCCGUUAAAUCAGUGUAAAAAGGUCUCCAAACAAUAUUAUUUAUCUCAAUAAUUUUUGAGACAAUUAAUCGCUCAGCAAAAUCUGUUAUCGUGACAGGCCUAUAUCAAGCUAAUAUUUAUUUUUUCCAAAAUAAUAAACAUUUAUAUUGUGUUUCCAGGCCUGGCAUAAAACCUGUUUCCGCUGCGCUCUGUGUGGUAAAAGCCUGGAGUCGACCACAGUGACGGAUAAGGACGGAGAGCUGUACUGUAAAGUUUGCUAUGCCAAGAACUUCGGCCCAAAAGGAUUCGGUCUGGGCAACGAGGCCAUGUUGGAGGAACGAGAAUAAACUGGCGGUUCUGCUGAAGUUCAAACCCGAUCACAGCGUCUCAAAGCUGGAAGAUGGAGCAGCACAAACCAAACCCUCAGCAACAUUAUGAAAAUUGUAGAGGGAAAAAUGUGUGCAACACUAAAUAAGAGGUUUUGUUACAAUAAAAUUAAUUCUCAAUGAAGUUUAUAACAAAAGCAAUAAAGUUGGUUUGUUAAUG
Molecule: long non-coding RNA, 592 nt
Organism: Poeciliopsis prolifica (blackstripe livebearer)
Lineage: Eukaryota; Metazoa; Chordata; Actinopteri; Cyprinodontiformes; Poeciliidae
Exons: 2
Source: RefSeq, a predicted model, not a curated record